RNA transcript from Scylla paramamosain (green mud crab), 3683 nucleotides. RefSeq lists it as uncharacterized. The record is from RefSeq and is a predicted model, not a curated record. NCBI's taxonomy places the organism in Eukaryota, Metazoa, Arthropoda, Malacostraca, Decapoda, Portunidae. The transcript is spliced from 12 exons.
ACAAAAUGUAAACACAACAGGAGGAAAAAUAUGGGUUUCGUAACUAGCAGACUGAAGAACGUGUUGCUGGGAUUACAUCACCGUCACUCUUUUCCGCUUCCUAACUAACCCAGCAACAUAAUGGAAGAAUAGAGGAGCUAAGGAGUAACAAGAAGAGAGAGUGAGAGAGGGGUAAUAGGGAGAGAAGGACAGGGGGAGAGUAAGUGUGUCAAAGCUUAUGAAGGCAGAGAUUUUGUGAUUUUUAUUUAUCAAGGAGGGGAAAUGUAUGCCACUAGAAGACUUUUAAGGCCUGUCUGGCAAACCGCGUGGAGGAAUGUUAGGACCUGUUCAUCUGAGGCCCAGGCAGCUCCAGCAAAGAAGAGAGGCGUGCUUCGGACCCUAGGGCGCGGCGUGAUGGGCGUGGGCGUGGCGGUGCCGGCGUUGGGCGGGGUAUACUACGUGGUUAGCGAUGACCACACCAAGAGGCAGAUGAGAGUUACUGUGCAGGGAGUUGGCAGGUUUUUUAGAACGGUAUGGAUUGGCAUGCAGAUCUCAGUGGACUACAAGUGGGCAACGUAUGGCCUUGAUGAAGACAGCGAUGAGUAUGAGGAAGCGCUAUCCAAGGCUCAUCUCCGCUCUGCCAGUCGCAUUUUGGAUGGCUGCUUGAAGAAUGGAGGCCUCUAUGUGAAGCUUGGCCAGGGGUUGGUGUCCUUGAAUCACAUCUUGCCUAAAGAAUAUUUGGAAACACUCAAAGCUCUUCAGGACCGAUGCCUCAACCGCAGAUGGGAUGAGAUCGGCCUGCUCUUCCAGGAGGACUUUGGCAUCUCUCACAAAGAGAUGUUUGCUGAGUUUGAUGACGAGCCCAUUGCAGCGGCCUCCCUUGCACAGGUGUUCAGAGCCAAGACUCAUGCGGGGGAGGAGGUGGCAGUGAAGGUCCAAUAUAUAGACCUUCAGGACAGGUUUUGGGGUGACAUUGCUACCAUUGAACUUCUGCUGGAGAUCAUACAACUCAUGCACCCAAAGUUUGCCCUCAAGUGGGUCAUGAAGGACCUGAAGGGAACACUGCAGCAAGAGCUAGACUUCCUGCAUGAGGGAGAGAACAGUGAGCGGUGUGCCAAGGACCUCUCCGGCCUGCCCUACGUGUAUGUGCCUCGCGUCCACUGGGACCUGUGCAGCAAGAGGGUGCUGACAGCAGAAUACAUCCAUGGCUACAAAGUGAGUGAUGUGAAGGGCAUCAAGGGGGCUGGUCUGGAUAUCAAGGAAGUGGACAGCAAAUUGGUGAAUGCAUUUGCCGAACAGAUUUUCCACACAGGCUUUGUACAUGCUGACCCCCAUCCUGGCAACAUCUUGAUCAGGAAGCGGCCGAGCGGUGAUGCCGAGGUGGUGAUCCUGGACCAUGGACUCUACCAGCCUCUGCCCACCUCAGUCCGCCAGCCCCUGUGCCGGCUGUGGAAGGCAAUAGUUGUAGGUGACCACACCCAGAUGAAGGACAACUCAGCACAACUCGGAGUGACAGCCUCAAACUACCGGCUGUUUUGCAUUUCUCUCAUUCAACGUUACAUCGCGCCGGCGGAGGGCGUAAUCCAGGACAUAUUUGACAUGUUUUAUGAUGAGAAGGGGCCAAAAUUCAUGACAAGGGCACAAUUCGAUAAACUUCCUGAGGAUGAGAAGAGAGAGCUGAGGAAGGAAAUAAUGGAUGUCCAUGACCGUGUGUUAGAUGUCUUCAAGGGUAUCCCCAGCAAUCUGCUUCUCAUUUUUAGACCACAGCCUUUUUGCGGAAAUGCUCAUGCAGCGGCCAGUGGGGGGAGGAGGGAUUGUGUCAUUGAAGGAAGUGUUGAGUGCUGAGGAGUUUGAGUACAUGCAAAAGAUGGCUGCCAACCGUUUUGAUCAGAUAGACAGGACUCUGCGAGAACUGCCUCGAGAGAUGUUGUUGGUCAUACGGAAUGUGAACACCAUCCGGUCUAUCACCAAGGAACAUGGGGACGUGGUGGACCGUUACAAGCUGAUGGCCCGCUCUGCCACGCGUGGCGCCUUCGUGUCGCCCGAUGCCUCCAUCAUGCAGAGGAUGCGUGGGCAGUGGGAGCAGCUCUACUUUGACUAUUCACUCAAGAAGGAAGCAGUGCGGAUGUGGGUAAUGAAGAAGGUGCUGUAUAUGUUGUACCUGCUGGGCCACAUUCCAGACCUUGCCCAGGUGGAGGCGCUGUGAUGUUCCGAGCAGCGCUGCCAACAUGCUCACUGUGCUCAGUAGUGUCCAGCUGGUAACACAACAACAUGGACUGGACAGAUGCAAUAUUUUUAUACAAAAUGUUGAAUUGUUGCCACAUGUAAUUGUAAGUUCAUGGAUAGUGUUUAGUUUUGUAGUAGAUUUGAAAGGCUAAUAUCUGUUUCUGGUUAGUGAGUGAUGUUUAGUCAUGUGCUGGUGAAUUCUGGGUAACAGAUAUCUAAUUUAUGAAUUUUUAAAAUUACAGAUUAAAUUAUUUUGCCUUUCUCUUAAUUCACAAAUGCAGAAUUCACAUUAUUUAUAAAUAAAAACCUAAAAAAAAAAAAUAAAUAAAUAAUUUUAAUAUGCAUUGAAUUGAAAGAAUUACAGACAUUUACUUGUUCCUAAGUUAUAAUUAUUCAGUUUAUGAACAUUAGUAGUAAUGUGCAUUAGUAAAUCAAGACUUAUCUAUGUGUUGAAAGCUCAGGUUACCAUGAUGACAUGAUGAAUGUAGAUAUUCCGUACAGUGUUUUGUUAAUAAUUUGUUGAAUCAGUCAAUCUAUCUUCUUGCAUCUGACUCCUUCUCAUCCUGUGGGGACACUCUUCAGUGGGGCAGCUGUGGCAGGAGGCUGUCCAUCCUUCCGUGCCCAACAUUUCCCCAUCUUUAUGAAUAAAUUCUUUCCUGUCAUUUUUCUCCCUCCAAUAAUUAUAUUUUUCUUCUUUAUUGUUGGCUUCCUUUCACAUUUCAUCAUUCAUUCUCAUUUAUGUGCCUUCUCUUGUAUUUCUUCUCAAUUAUUCUUACUAUGUGUCCAAACCACCUCACUCUACCUUGCUUUUUUCAUUCGACCUAUUCAUACGACUCUCUCCAUCCUUCCUGACAGACCAUGUGCUCUUCAUUUAUGUGUACUGCAUGUAUUCAAGGUGGAAGAAGCAUAUUACUGUUUUUUAGACUAUCUUUGUUUCCAUACUUAAUUUCCUCCUAUUCAUAAUUUUCUCCAGUUCUUCUGUGAUUUGUCUCUCUUUCACCAUUCUCUGUCUCUAUCUUGUCUCUCUCAUGCUUCAAUGAUUACACAGAAUUGCUCCUCGUUGCUUAAACUCCUUCACAUCUUCUGUCUUCACUUCCCCUAAAAAUGGUCUUGGUCUUUCAGUUGUUCACACUUGUGUACCUCUUUCAGAAACCAUUGCCCUGCUCAUGUCAACUUGUACAUACCUUCAUCUCUCUCCUUUUAUGCAUUAUAUUAAAACAUCUUCCAUAUCCUGUAACCUUUUGACACUGCUAGCAACCCUCUGUCCUUUGUGAACAGUCUUGUUCCCAGGGAGUGUUGCAUGUUGCUACAUCAGCCUAGCAUGUGUUCAUAUCCCAUACUGUCUUUCAUCACACUCUUGCUGCUAUCUCUGUAUAUCUUGAACAACCCUGGUGAUGUCACAACCCUUGCCUCGCCCUCAUGCCAGUCUGAAGAUAUAUUGAUUUUAAAUUAAGUUAAAUUAAAUUAAUUUAAUAAAA